UGGGGAAUAUUGGACAAUGGGGGCAACCCUGAUCCAGCCAUGCCGCGUGGAUGACGAAGGUCUUUGGAUUGUAAAAUCCUUUCGCUAGGGAAGAUAAUGACGGUACCUAGUAAAGAAGCUCCGGCUAACUCCGUGCCAGCAGCCGCGGUAAUACGGAGGGGGCUAGCGUUGUUCGGAAUUACUGGGCGUAAAGCGCGCGUAGGCGGACUGUUAAGUCGGGGGUGAAAUCCCGGGGCCCAACCCCGGAACUGCCCUCGAUACUGGCAGCCUUGAGGACGGAAGAGGCGAGUGGAAUUCCGAGUGUAGAGGUGAAAUUCGUAGAUAUUCGGAGGAACACCAGUGGCGAAGGCGACUCGCUGGUCCGUUUCUGACGCUGAGGCGCGAAAGCGUGGGGAGCAAACAGGAUUAGAUACCCCCGUAGUCC
This 424-nucleotide ribosomal RNA is filed under the name uncultured prokaryote. Its description in RNAcentral is "bacterial SSU rRNA". It matches the Rfam family "Bacterial small subunit ribosomal RNA", at positions 355 to 796 of the family's 1533-position model. The record is from RNAcentral.